GUGGGCGCACAAAACACCUAAACCUGGAGUAUACACACGUCAACAAAAGAUCUAAAAGAAUAAAACUUUCAACAACGGAUCUCUUGGUUCUCGCAUCGAUGAAGAGCGCAGCGAAAUGCGAUACCUAGUGUGAAUUGCAGCCAUCGUGAAUCAUCGAGUUCUUGAACGCACAUUGCGCCCGUCGGUAUUCCGGCGGGCAUGCCUGUCUGAGCGUCGUUUCCUUCUUGUGCACCGGGGUCUUUGCAGAUCCUCUCUGCGCAGAGCUGGCCGUGCCACUGGCCCGGCCGAAAAGAAACGUUGCGGACGAAGCGAACUACAUCGGGACGCUUUGGCCGCCGAGCGAAAAAAAAACACCAUUGAGCUCGACCUCAGAUCAGGUAGGAGUACCCGCUGAACUUAAGCAUAUCAAA
RNAcentral lists this ribosomal RNA (410 nucleotides) under Pichia sp. S513Y6. RNAcentral's name for it is "eukaryotic LSU rRNA". The stretch from base 64 to 216 matches the Rfam family "5.8S ribosomal RNA". Lineage: Eukaryota; Fungi; Ascomycota; Pichiomycetes; Pichiales; Pichiaceae. The record is from RNAcentral.